Dermatophagoides farinae (American house dust mite) is the source of this 148-nucleotide long non-coding RNA. RefSeq lists it as uncharacterized. The record is from RefSeq and is a predicted model, not a curated record. NCBI's taxonomy places the organism in Eukaryota, Metazoa, Arthropoda, Arachnida, Sarcoptiformes, Pyroglyphidae.
UGCUAAAAUGUACAAAAAACAAAAAAAAAACAAAAAUGAUGAUGAUCAUCAUCAAUUAACGUUCGUUCUUCCUUUUGGGCUACAAUUCUGAAAUUAAUUGUUGUCCUUGACUGUUUUGGUUUGUGCGUAAAUUUUUUUUUUUUUUUUU